GCGGUUGUGGCGGAAUGGCAGACGCGCUAGGUUGAGGGCCUAGUGGGAGUUAAAUCCCGUGGUGGUUCAAGUCCACUCAACCGCACCA
RNAcentral lists this transfer RNA (88 nucleotides) under Bacillaceae bacterium JMAK1. RNAcentral describes it as "tRNA-Leu". It matches the Rfam family "tRNA". From Rfam's summary of the family: Transfer RNA (tRNA) molecules are approximately 80 nucleotides in length. Their secondary structure includes four short double-helical elements and three loops (D, anti-codon, and T loops). The record is from RNAcentral. RNAcentral also lists the same sequence under 2 other names. Lineage: Bacteria; Bacillati; Bacillota; Bacilli; Caryophanales; Bacillaceae.